Molecule: unclassified non-coding RNA, 100 nt
Organism: Microcebus murinus (gray mouse lemur)
Lineage: Eukaryota; Metazoa; Chordata; Mammalia; Primates; Cheirogaleidae
Rfam family: Y RNA
About the family: Y RNAs are components of the Ro ribonucleoprotein particle (Ro RNP), in association with Ro60 and La proteins. The Y RNAs and Ro60 and La proteins are well conserved, but the function of the Ro RNP is not known.
Source: Ensembl
AGCUGGUGCUAUAAGAAAAAAGUCAUACUAAUUGAUCACAGCCAGUUACAGAUUCCUUUGUUCCUUCUCCACUGCCACUGCUUCACUUGACCAGCCUUUA